CGCCUGUUUAUCAAAAACAUCUUUUCUCGUUAGUUUUUGAAGUAUGGCCUGCCCACUGACUUUGAGUGUUGAAGGGCCGCGGUAUUUUGACCGUGCAAAGGUAGCAUAGUCAUUAGUUCUUUAAUUGUGAUCUGGUAUGAAUGGCUUGACGAGGCAUGAGCUGUCUUAAUUUUGGAUUGUUUAUUGAAUUUGGUCUUUGAGUUAAAAUUCUUAGAUGUUUUUAUGGGACGAGAAGACCCUAUAGAGUUUAACAUUUAUUAUGGUCUCUUUCUGUUUGUGAGGGUUCAUUAGGGCUGUCUAAUAUGUUUUGUUGGGGUGAUGGGAGGGAUAUUAUUUAACCCCUCCUUUUUGUUGUUAUAUUUAUUUAUAUUUGCUUGAUCCAUUUAUUUUGAUUGUAAGAUUAAAUUACCUUAGGGAUAACAGCGUAA
Molecule: ribosomal RNA, 428 nt
Filed under: Reticulitermes flavipes (eastern subterranean termite)
Lineage: Eukaryota; Metazoa; Arthropoda; Insecta; Blattodea; Rhinotermitidae
Description: partial 16S ribosomal RNA
Rfam family: Archaeal large subunit ribosomal RNA (bases 1-214)
Source: RNAcentral